GCAGCCCCGCGGUAAUACGUAGGUGGCAAGCGUUAUCCGGAAUUAUUGGGCGUAAAGCGCGCGCAGGUGGUUUCUUAAGUCUGAUGUGAAAGCCCACGGCUCAACCGUGGAGGGUCAUUGGAAACUGGGAGACUUGAGUGCAGAAGAGGAAAGUGGAAUUCCAUGUGUAGCGGUGAAAUGCGUAGAGAUAUGGAGGAACACCAGUGGCGAAGGCGACUUUCUGGUCUGUAACUGACACUGAGGCGCGAAAGCGUGGGGAGCAAACAGGAUUAGAUACCCUGGUAGUCCACGCCGUAAACGAUGAGUGCUAAGUGUUAGAGGGUUUCCGCCCUUUAGUGCUGAAGUUAACGCAUUAAGCACUC
This 362-nucleotide ribosomal RNA is filed under the name Bacillus cereus. Its description in RNAcentral is "bacterial SSU rRNA". It matches the Rfam family "Bacterial small subunit ribosomal RNA", at positions 511 to 869 of the family's 1533-position model. Lineage: Bacteria; Bacillati; Bacillota; Bacilli; Caryophanales; Bacillaceae. The record is from RNAcentral.